CAAAUUUUGCUUUACCCGUGUGUACCAUCCCAUACCAAGCAUAUCAUACCGUAUCGGUACCAAACCAAGACUCAGGGAAUGCCCCGAGUGUCGAUAUGCCCAACCAACCACUAUACCAAGCGUACCGACCACUGUAUCAUCAUGGUACUACAACAAAAUCUAGUACCUAGAUCGCGAACCUUAGUCCCAAAUAAUAAAACCUUCCAACCCAAAGAAAUGUGGAUUUCAAGAGUGAAGCCUAUGAUCUCUCAGGACCAUGGUGAAUAUUUAAUCAUCAAACAUAUGCUCAAGCAGGUUUCAAGACCAAAACCAGGCUUACAUGGAUCAUAUGUGCCCUAUUGAGACUUAACAACUUUGAUCCCGUAGGACUAUUCUCAGGUACAGACCAACCCCCAUCAUGAGUUCAGAAAUGGAAAAGACGCC
RNAcentral lists this long non-coding RNA (423 nucleotides) under Phoenix dactylifera (date palm). Its description in RNAcentral is "long non-coding RNA (PDAC_LNC022221)". Lineage: Eukaryota; Viridiplantae; Streptophyta; Magnoliopsida; Arecales; Arecaceae. The record is from RNAcentral.